This 12530-nucleotide long non-coding RNA is filed under the name Vitis vinifera (wine grape). RNAcentral describes it as "long non-coding RNA (VVIN_LNC005606)". The record is from RNAcentral. Lineage: Eukaryota; Viridiplantae; Streptophyta; Magnoliopsida; Vitales; Vitaceae.
UGGCCCCAACAUUACAGCCUACAAGAACGAGCUCAGAGAAAUUGGAGUGACCGUUGAUUUGUUAAAUGGGUGCUCUUUGCUUGCUGGCUAUCUUGAUUUUCAUUCUGAAUUUUCAACCAUUGUUCGAGUCUAUAAUUACUUGAAUGAACACGGCUGGUCGCCUUCCAAUGAUACUCCUAGAAGGAUCUGGAUCCCUAAUGGGAGUGACAGUGGAGAGUGGGUUAGUCCUGAAAAAUGUGUUAUUCAUGACAAGGAUGGUCUCUUCAGUUCACAGCUGAAUGUUUUAGAGAAACACUAUAAGCCGGAAUUAUUCAGCCUUUUCUGCAGAGUCAUGCAAGUUAAAUCCAAUCCUUCUAUUGAUGACUACUGCGAACUUUGGAAUAACUGGGAAAAUUCAAGGGAGCAACUGUCACGUUCGGAGUGUUGUGCUUUCUGGGCCCAUGUUUCAAAGCACUGGAGUAAAAACACACAGAAAACUCUUGCCGACAGCUUGUCAAAACUGCCAGUUGAAUCAGGAUCGGAGAGAAUAAUGCUGUUUGACAAACGUGAUGUUUUCAUUGCAGAUGACCUCCAGCUGAAGUAUCUUUUCCAACAAUCUUCGCCUCACUCAAUUUUUGUGUGGUAUCCCCAGCCAAGCAUCCCUUCCUUGCCCCGGACUAAGCUGCUUGACAUCUACAGGGAAAUUGGUGUUCGUUCUAUCUCUAAAUCUGUACAGAAGGAAGAAAUCUCCAAGUUGGAGGCCAGUGAACUCAAGCAAGUGUCUCAGAAGGAAACUUUGAUCGGAAAAGGCCUGCUGAAACUCAUUCUUGGCUUUCUCGCUGGUCCUUCUAUUGAAAUGGAAGCAGGACAAAGGCUGGAAGCUGUCAAAGGCCUUCUCAAUCUUAAGGUGUUUGAGACGGAGGGGCAAACUGCAGCAAGCUACAGAUUGUCAAUGUCUUCUGGGGAAACCAUGGACGUUGAUGCAAGAGGAAUGAUGCGCUGGGACCGGGAGGAUUCCAAGCUUUUCAUGCAGAAGAUGGAUAUAUCGGGUGGACAUAAAAAUAAAAUCGAAUAUGCUACAAUCUUCGCUGAAGUAAUAUCAGAGGGCGUCUUACAGGAGAAAGAAGACCAUAUAUCUGAUCUCGCCGAACUGAUCAAGUUGGCAUUCUUCCUGGAUUUUGAUGAGGAAGCAGUUGGGUUCUUGAUGAGAUCCAAGAAUCUCCAAGUUUUCUUGGAGGACGAGGAGCUUCUCUCUUCAGCCCUUUCUCUCGACUAGGUAUGCAUUCUAUGCCAUGACCAAUAAAUAGUUGAAAGUGUCAUUUUCCUUAUAUUUCCCCGUUUGAAGUGUGUACUGGUGUGUGCUAUUAGAAUAUUAUAUAAUGUAUAUGAAUCUGGUGUGAAAUGGCUGAUUUAGGCAGCCUAUAUUGUGAUAAUUAUGCCCUUGUGCUUGCCUUUUUUAUUAAAUCGAUUUAAUAUUAAUUGACAUGCAAGAGACAAAAUUAAAUAUUUAAAAGGAGAUGCAUGUGAAGAUCUAAUCUACUCAUAUGUUUUCAAACACUAAAAGUAAAAAAAAAAUUAUAUUGUAAGAGUUCAACUUUAACAUAUCAAAUUAUAAAAAAAUAAAAAAAUUACAAUAUAUCAUCCUUAAAAUAGAUGGUUGCAAUUUUUUUUUAAUCCUCAUUAAUUAUUUUUUAAAUGACUAUAUUAUUUGCUAUAGAGAAUACUCCAUCUCUAUACCUAAAUUUAACACUUGAAGAAAAAUUUUCUUCGGCUUUGAACCCCGUGAAACUCGGUUGCAUUAGAAGUUACAAAUAAAAAUGAUUUCAUUACUUUAAUAAGAUAAUAUGAGAGUAUUUGAUAUAUAAAAUUAAUAAAUGAACAUAGUCUAAUAUUUAAUUUAAUUUAUUAACCAUAUUAUGGAUUUUUUAAUUAAUUUAUUUAAUGUCAAAAAAUCUUUUUUUAGGUCUAAUAAACCCAAAAAAAAAAAAAAUUAAAACAUGUUAGGUAUUGUUUUGUUUAAUUGUUAUUAGAUUAUUAGAAAACAAUUUGGGAGUAGUUAUUAAUCGUUUUCAAAAACAAAAUUAUAUUUGAUAUUUUAAAAAUAGUUCAUUGAUUUUGUUCUCAAUGAAAGUACCAUAAACUUUAACAUAAAAUAUAAUUUUUUUUCUAAAUGUGUUCUAUAUUUUUAAUUGUUUAUUAAGACAUUUGAAAAUAUGUUAAAUUUAUUUUCAAAAUAAUAUGUUAUCAAAAUAAAUUUUGAAAAACGGUUUUGUUUCAAAAGUCUACCAACUAUUUUCUAGGUUGGAAAAUUGGUUUUAGUUAUACAAUAAUAAUUUCCAUACGGAUGCUUGAGAUAUGGAUUUAGUACCAUAUUAAAUUUAUGUAUUUAAAUAUAAAUCAUUGAAUAAAAAUAUAGCAAAAAAAAAGAUAUUUAAAUGUAAAUAUAUUGGACCACGUUAUAAAAAAAUAAAAAAAACAAGAGAACGAGACUAUUACAAGUAUCGAAGUAUGAAAUUCAAGGUGCCCACAUAAACCUUUUUUAUUGAGCACCAUUCUAUAUAAAGAUUUAUUUGAAAACUUAUUUUGAAAAUAGCUUUGUGUUUAAAUGUCUUUAUAGUUGAGAAACAAUAAAUUCAUAUUUCCUUUUUUUUCAACUUCCAUGCAAUACCUAUAGAGUCACUGUGAUUCUUGCAAAUGAGUUGAACUUGAAUCCCAAAAGUGAAUAAAAAAUUGGAUCUACAUUGAAUUGUCUUGUUGAUCUACGUUAAAUUGCCUCAUCAAUUCUUUUGAGUAAAAACUUGAUCUUAGACUUAAUUCAAACAAAAGGAGUACAUUAUGCUAAUGUAUCUUGAAUGAUCCACAUCUCAAGGUAGUUGGCCCAAUAUAUCGGGAUGAUUGGCUUAAUGAGCAUAGGGGUGGUUGACCCAAUAAGCACAUUGAAGAAUUAAUGUGACUAGUCUUGAUGUUUUUAUAGGGAUGGUAAUGGAUAAGUUUUUUUUGUACCAUCUAUGCCCAUGGGACAAAUUUGAAAGAAAUGUAUAUUGAAUGGGCUUUAUUGUUGUUUUUUCUUAAAAAAAAAAAAAAACUAGAGUCAUCAAAGAAGGUUUUCUUACCAAACCUAAUUAUAUAAAAUUAGAUAAAAAUAAUUUCAUUUCAUUUUCUUUUGACAAAAUUAAAAUUAAAAAUUUUGAAAAAUAAUUUAAAAAUUAAAGGAGAUAUGAGAGAGGUAAGCAUGGGAAAUUGCUAGGGUGCAACUUGGGCGGGUUGGAUUGGGCCAACCCAAACCUAACCCUCUAUUUGGACGGGCUUAGAUAGAUGUUUUUAAUAUUUGGGUUGAACUUGUAUUAAGUUUUCUCAAUAUGAACCCAACCCAAACCGGUUUAAUGUUUUUAUACUUGUAUAAUAAUAUUCAUCUCCUUUUCAAAUUUUAAAAAUAUCAAAUUAUAAAUAUAUCAUAUACUUCUCAUUUAUAUAUAUAUAUAUAUAUAUAUAUAUAUAUAUAUAUAAGUUUAUUUUUAUUAUAAAAUAUGAAAUUUUGUACCACUAUGGUAACUUAUGGAUGAUCAUCCAUAAAUAUAUUUUAUAACUCUUUAUAAAAGGAAGAGACUUCUAAUGAAAUUUAAUAGAGUUUUCUAAUACAUUCUAUUAUCUCUUUCUUGAUUUCUUCUUCUCUCAUUUUGUUUUAUAAUAAUUUUUACUUUUUUAUUGUUAUCUUGAAAUUUUGUCUUAUUUUUUAUAUAAAUAUAUAUAAUUUAAAAAAAAAACCAUUAUGAAUAAAUUUUAAAUUAUGCAACCCAACCAAUUCCACUCUUGUCCAAUCAACUUGAGUUUAAUUCUAUUAACCCAAUUUUAAUCCAAGUUUAAAAAAACAAGAUUGAGCACUUCAAGUUAGAAAUCGGAUUAAAUUGAGUUUGGGUUAAUCAUUUCUUAAUUUAAAUUAAACUCAAGUUAACUUUCAACCUAUUCAAGUUGUAACCUUAGAAAUUCUAUACCUAUCUCAAUCUACCAUUUUUUAGUUAAAACUUUUUUUAGGAUGGAAAUAUGAGUAAUUUUAAAUAAUAUAAGUACCCAUCCUCAUCCAUUGAGUUGCUAUCCCUAGUGUUUUUAUAGGAUUGCCACCCUCUAUUUUGAGUAUUUUUAGAAGAUUGUCGGUCUCGUUAUUAGCUCAUAUUUAUAGUUUAAUCCUCUUGGAGACUCCCGUUCUACUUGUACAGUCACUUAUAUGUUUUUUUAUCCAUCUCCCUUUGGAAAAUGAGAGGAAAAGACAAUGCAAGAACUCUAUGGUCCAUAAAGACUCGGCGUGGAGGAAUGGUGACGUCACUUUCUAGUACAAUGGGCCAAACUUUUUUCUCAUUUUCCACUAGGUGGGUGCCUUUUAAAAUCUUUAAAUUUUUAUUUUUUAUUUUUGUUCAUUCUUUAUUAAUUCCUUCUCCACUUUCUAAUUCCUUCGCCCGGAGGUUUCCCCUUUGGUUAAAGUUAAUCAUUAAAGGUAAAAAAAGAUUAAAUAAAAUAACAUUUUCAUUAAUAAUCGCAUUAAAGUGAAUCAUCAAAGUUAAUAUGAUUAAAUAAUAUAAUAUUUUGACUAAUAAUUAAGGAUUUAAUUAAAAAUUAUUCUUGAAAUUAGUUUUAUAUCACUUCUUAAUUGUUUUUAGAAAUAGAAUUACAUUUGAUAUUUGAAAAAUAGUUUUUUUUUUUAUCUUAUUUUUCAUUAAAGUAUUAUUAGCAUAAAAGUUUUUAAAAUAUUACUUAUAUUUUCAAUUAUUACUCAAAACACUUUAAAAGUAAUAAACGAAAAUAUCUUAAAUUUGUUCUCAAAACAAUUCAUCUUUAAAAUAAUUUUUCAAAAAACUAUUUUUUUUUUCAAAAGUCUAUUAAAAUUGUUUUCUAAGUUAGAAAAUUGCUUUCAAUUAUAAAAAUAGAGGUUGUUCAAAAAUGUUUUUGAAAACAAUAUUAAAAAAUAUUUGUAUGAUAAUUUCUAAAACAAAAUUUUGUUUAUAAAUUUGAAAUGUUUUAAUUUAUUUUGUGUAUUUAAAUAUUCCUUAAAAAUAUUUUUUUUAUAUGUAUUGAUUGUUAUUUAAAAAAGUUUUAAAAAACAAGAAAAACCAUUAUAUAUUCUAAAGAAAAUAAAUCAUAUUUUUAUAAUAAUUCUCAAAAACCUAUUUUGGGAUAACCAAUAAAAAAACAAAUUUUGAUUUUUUUUUUUUUGUUAAAAUAGCUCAAAAAUAUAACCUAAAAGGUUGUUUUCAAAAAUAGUUUUAAAAUAUAUCCUUAGCAUAUGGAUUUGGUAUCAUAUCAAAACUCAAAAUAUGAAUCUUUAUGUGUAUGAUUAAAAAUAUAUCACUAAGUAAAAAUAUAAAAAAAAAUGAAAUAUUUAUAUAAAUAUAUAGGACCAAAUUAUCAGGGAAAAAAAACAUUAAAAGUAUAAACAAAUGAAAUUUGUAGUUUUUGUAUAAACAUUUUAGCCUAAGUAGUGUUAUAUAUAUAUAUAUAUAUAUAUAUAUAUAUAUAUAUAUAUAUAUAUAUAUAAAGGCUUAUUUGGUAAUGGCUAAUAAUAAGUUCUAUUUGGAAAACAUUUAUUUAUUUACAAAAAAACAGAUUUGAUCAAUUUUUAUUAUUAUUGAAUAUAUAUAUAUAUAUAUAUAAUAACAAAUUUGAGUUGUUUUAGAAAAACAAUUGAAAAUAUGAUAUUUAAAAAAAUUUUACAUUAUGUAUUAUGUACAGGUGUAUAAUACAUGGAAUAAGCUUUCCAAAUUAAAUUCUUUAAGAAAAUUUUGUUUGUAAAAUAAAUUGAGAAGUAUUUUAUGUAAUAAGAGUUUUUUUUAAAAAAACUCUGUAAAAAUUUAUAUUUAGGAAAAUUGCUAAGUUAUCAAAUAGUUAUUAUAUCAACCACUAAAUCUAAAUUAUUGAUCUUCAUAAUUAAAUUUGAAUGAUUGAAUAAAUGUAACAUGAAAUGGGAUCAUAAUGGAAAAUUAGGAAUCAGGUAUAAAAGAAUAAGCUUCUCAAAUGGAAAUUCAUUCAAUUAUAAAUUUCUCCAUUUUUGGAUAUAUUUUUCAAUCACAAUUCUAUAGUUUUUUAUACGAUUUAUCUUUAUUUAAAAAAUAAAAUAAAACAUGCCUUUUUCUUCACUGUAAUUCGUUGAAUCAAAUUUUUAUAAGAUUUAGUAAUUAUUUUAAAUUAGAAAUUUCAAACAAAAAAAUCGGAUAAUAUAAAAUUAGGUAGAAAUAAAUACAAAUAAAUCUAUUUUACACGUGGUCGUUUAUUAUUGGGCAUAUCGAAAAUAAUCAAAAUACACCACUUUUAAAUCUCACUCCCCACAUGCAAGGACGAUUCCAAAUUUCCAACUUCAUGGAACCACACCUCGUAGACCCGAGCAAGUCUCCUCGUCCGUACGUCUCGCCCCUUUUUUUUCUCUUUCUUUAGUUGAUGUCGAUUCCGUUGAUUGCUUACUUCCUUCACAAGUUUUGCUUCUUUACUAAGUUUCUCACAUUCUAGUCCACACAAAACGACGAUGGAUUGGACAUUCUUUAAAUGCGUCUCUUUUAUAUAUGUAGACACUUCUGUGUGUUGCCAUUCAGUGCCCUUGGCAUCUUUCUACUGAGAGUGAAGACUGAGAGUGCUUUGUGUGAAUCGAGAAGGAGGAGUGGUCGUAAUGGCGACGCCGGAGGAGCAUAUAAAGGAGAUAAGGAGGACGAAGUUCUCGAUUGGAGGAGAGCUGAAUCCGCUGACGGAGGAUCUUCACCAGGCGGUGAAGAAUCUCUCAGCUGAGCUUUACGCUAAGGAUGUUCAUUUCCUCAUGGAACUCAUUCAGGUCUGUGCUUUAUAUGUUUGUCUUGUUGUUUUUAGAGAUGUGAUGAGCACUCUGCGUUGUAUGCAGCCAUUGUUUUGUCAUGUUAUUUAAAAUUUUGAGCGCUUUGAGCGCUGCUCUGUUCCUCUGCUAGAAAACCAAGGAAAAUGACGGUUAUGAGACUUUUGAAUAUUUUGUUUUCUUUAUAUGGUAUUUGUUUCUUGGAGAUGACUAACUAGAGAUUCAUAAUUAUAUGAUAUAUCUUUGAAGUAAAAAUCAACUUAGGAAAGUAUAUGAUAUAUUUAUAAUUUGAUAUUUUUAAAAUUUAAAAAGGAGAUGAAUAUUAUUAUACAAGUAUAAAAACACUAAAUCAGGUUUGGUUUUGGUUCGUAUUGAGAAAACUUUAACACAAGUUCAACCCAAAUAUUAAAUCGGUGCACUAACUUUCUGAAGAAUAUGUUACUUAUCUAUUAUUCUAAUUCGAUCAUUAUGAUCGGAAAGUGAAGUGAUAUGGAUUGAGAAUUAGUUUUGCACUAACUUUUUGAAGAAUAUGUUACUUAUCUAUUAUUCUAAUUCGAUCAUUAUGAUCGGAAAGUGAAGUGAUAUGGAUUGAGAAUUAGUUUUGUUACAUUCAAACUUCGGUUACAUUUUUUUGGUCUUGGAAAAUCUAAAUGUGAAGAAAUCACAUAUUCUAAAUUUUACAUAACAGAAUGCAGAAGAUAAUGACUACCCGGAAGGUGUAAAUCCAUCACUGGAGCUCGUUAUAACUUCACAGGACAUAACUGGCACUGGAGCAUCCGCGACAUUGUUGAUUUUCAACAACGAAAAAGGGUUUUCAGCUAAAAAUAUUGAGUCUAUCUGCAGUGUUGGGAGGUCCACCAAGAAAAACAAUAGGAAGUGUGGCUAUAUUGGAGAGAAAGGUACCUUCAUUUUUUUACUCUUUCGCUCAUAUCUCUCCAUCUUCCAUGCUGUAAAUUUUAAAACGAAACAGAGCAAGCUCUAACUCUCUGUCUGCAAAAAGAAAUUCUUUCUUUUCGAUAAUCCCUAGUCAACGAUAGACUGUCUCCCGAUUGUCUCUGUGAAACAAUCGGAAGACAACAAGGAUUAGAUAAAAUGAGAAAUAGAGGUAUGUGAUAGUAGAAAGUGAUCUAUCUUGGUUCUAUAUUUUUAUGCAUUUCAUUAAUACUGGGAACAAAAGAAACAAGGGGUCUUAUUAUUCUUACAUGUUCAUUAGUAACAUUCCCUUGAUACUUUCCAAGGGUAUCACUCGUAUUUUGCUUAUGCUUAAUGUUUUCUGAUUCUACUAGAAAUCUUAUAAGAACUUGUUUUGUUAUAAGUGGAUUUAUGGGAUUGGUUCUUCAAUGGUCUUGGGUCAGAAUCCUAUUUUGACUCUGCAUCAUCGAUUCCACUAUUAUUAGUGAGCAAUAAUGGAAAAAUUCUUUCAUAUUCAUAGAAAUAAGGGACAUAAUUUACAUGGAUAUAGUAAGUUUCGCUUGGGCUGCUUUAAUGGUAGUCUUUACAUUUUCUCUUUCACUCGUAGUAUGGGGAAGAAGUGGACUUUAGAGGUACUAUUGAUUCAGUUGAGAAUCUUUAACUACAGAUCAAGUAUAUCCUCAAUUCUUAGAACCUCUAGUGUAGAAACACUUUAUUCAUGUCAAAAAGUUAGCUUAAUCAAUUCAGCUAGACACCCCAACUUUGGUCUUUACUAAGUCAACCUUCUCCUUUGCUUAACUUGCUAGCCUAAGAUGUACACGACUUAAAAGCUAAAAUGAAAACUGUGGGCAAGACUUUUGGUCUUUACUAAGUCAACCUUCUCCCUUGCUUAACUUGCUAGCCUAAGAUGCACACGACUUAGAAGUAUUUCUUAUACAACUUGUCGUCUUGCUAAUAUGCAGGAAUUGGGUUCAAGAGUGUAUUUCUAAUCACAGCACAACCUUACAUAUUCAGUAAUGGAUAUCAGAUACGAUUCAAUGAAGAGCCUUGCCCGCACAGCAAUCUUGGGUACAUAGUCCCUGAAUGGGUUCAGUGGAAUCCAACUCUUGAUGACAUAAAGCAAAUAUACGGUUCUCAUGCAGUCCUUCCAACCACUACCAUAAUCUUGCCUCUAAAGCCUGACAAGAUCGGCCCUGUGAAGGAACAGCUCUCAAGUAUUCAACCUGAAGUUCUAUUAUUUCUUUCAAAGAUUAAGCAGUUUUCUGUCAAGAAACAUAAUGAGGAUCCCAGGCUCAAUACGGUGAAUGCUAUAUCUAUUUCAAGUGAAAUUAACUUUGUUAAAAGGAAGAAUAUUGAUGCUGAUUCCUAUAUUCUCCAUCUCUCCACGGAUGGAGCUAAGGAUGUGACUGAAAAAGAAUGCAGCUAUUAUAUGUGGAGGCAGAAGUUCCCUGUCAGGCAGGAAAAUCAAGUAGAAAGAAGACUUGGAGUGGAGGAGUUGGUUAUUACGCUGGCAUUUCCAUUUGGACAGCGACUGAAUAGAGGGAUAAGCUCUCCAGGAGUCUAUGCAUUUCUUCCCACGGAGAUGGUUACAAAUUUUCCUUUCAUUAUUCAGGCAGAUUUUGUUCUUGCAUCAUCCAGGGAAACAAUCCUCUUGGACAACAAAUGGAACCAAGGCAUUCUAGAUUGUGUGCCUUCUGCUUUUCUUAAUGCCUUCAUUUCACUGGUUACAACAUCACAAGAUGUUCCAGUCUCUACACUGACCCCAAUGUUUAAGUUCUUGCCUAUCUACAGCUCUCCUUAUCCAAAGCUCAAUGAUGUGAGGGAGUUGAUCAAAGCAGAACUGCUUAAGAAGAAUAUCGUACCAUGUGAGUCGUAUUCAGACCAGAAGAUCUUUCGUAAACCUUGUGAAGUGGGUAGGUUAAUGCCUUCUUUCUGGAAUAUCCUGAAAAAGGCAAGGAAGCAAGGGGUAAGUUUGCAUUCUCUGUCAUCCCAUGGAAAGUAUAUUCUGAAUUCUUCAUUUGAUACAGAGGAGUACGAUCACAUAUUGAAUUUCCUUGGUGUGGAACCUGUCAAUAGCGAAUGGUAUGCCAAGUGUAUCAAGAGUUCCAAUCUUGUUUUGGGAGUGACAGAGGAUGGUUAUUUGGAGCUUCUACUCUUUAUUGCUGAGAAAUGGAGUUCCUCUUUCUACAGCACCGACAUGAAGAAUGUUCCUCUCCUAAAAUAUGUUGGUCCUGAUGGAAAUGUUGUUUUGUGCGCUACAAGCAAUGUCACAAUGUGGAAUGGUGAAAGUACGAUUUGUAUGUCCCGUGAGUCUCAGCAUAUUUCAUGGUUGAUAGACUGGAACAGGGAAUUUAGACGUGUGACAGAUCGAUAUUUUGUGCCCAAAAGCACACAAGAAGCUAUCAGGUCUUUUUUUAAGAGAGAGACUCUCUUGGAAUGGCUUCAAAAUCAAGUGAAGGUUCGGGCUGUAAGUGUGAAAGACUUUGCAGUCAUUCUUUGUAAUUCUCUUAAGGGUGACCGACAGCUUGCUAUCGCCUAUGUUCACUUCCUUUAUCAUUCCCUCUCGAAGAGUUAUCUACCAAAGGGGGAUGUUGACAAUUUGUGUGGUAUCAUGCCACUUGUAGAUAACUAUGGGCAUGUGAGCACUCAGAGAAAAGGGGUUCUCGUUCCUGCUAACGGAAGCAAAUGGGUGGGAUUAAUGGGUACAAAUCCGUGGAGGGGAGCAGGCUAUGUUGAGCUGGGAGAAGACUAUUUGCGCUCAGGCAGUUAUGCAGGUUUAUUCACAUCAGAGAUGCAACUAAUGACGUUUCUCAAAACUCAUGUUGCAGCUUCUGAUAUACCUCAUAUAUCUCCUCCCGACGCCGAGUUAUCUGCCGCAUAUGCACCACUCACCAAGCAAAAUGCAUUCUUGCUGUUGGACUGGAUUCACAACCUGAAAUAUAAGCAAGGUCUGCCAGCUAAGUUCCUGACAUCCAUUAAGAAGGGAAGCUGGUUCAAAAUUUCCCUCAGUGGCAGUCCUGGAUAUAGGCCACCAUCAGAGUCUUUCCUGCUUGCUUCAUCAGAUGAAAAUCUUCUGCAGGACGAGUCAGUAAUGGUUGAUAUUCCUUUGAUUGACCAAGGAUUUUAUGGAAAUGGCAUCAAUUGUUAUAAGGAGGAGCUCAAAACUGUUGGAGUAAUGUUUGAAUAUGGCGAAGCCUGUGAGUUUAUAGGGAGGCACCUCAUGUCUCUUGCAGCUUCCUCUGCGUUGACUAAAUCCAGUGUGUUUGAAAUACUCAAGUUCAUCAGAUUUUUGAGACUUAGAUUUCUUCCGGCUGAUAAAUUCAUCCAGAGUAUCAUAAAUGGAAGAUGGUUGAAGACUUCCUGUGGUCACAGGUCUCCAGUUGGAUCUGUUUUAUUUGACCAAGAAUGGAAAGCUGCAUCACAAAUCAGUGACAUCCCCUUCAUCGACCAAGAUCACUACGGCAAGGAAAUCCUUCGUUUCAAAAUGGAACUCCAAUUGCUAGGUGUGGUAGUUGGCUUCAACAAAAAUUACCAGCUUGUUACUGAUCACUUAAAGUCUCAAGCAUGCUCAAAUCAUCCAACAGCCGAGGCUAUUCUUUUGAUAUUUGAAUGCAUGCGUGAUUGUGAGCGCAAUUCAAGAUCAGCCCAUAAACUUAUACAGGCGCUUAAAGGUAAUAAAUGCUUGAAGACGAACAUGGGCUACAAGUUUCCUAGUGAAUGUUUCCUGUUUAAUACUGAGUGGGAUUCGCUUCUGAAAGUCUUCCAUAAUGAUUUCCCACUUAUUGAUGAAGACUUCUAUGGGACCAGCAUCUUGUCUUACGAAAAAGAGUCGAGGCAAGCGGGAAUAGUGGUGGAUUUUGAAGCAGCGACUCAGAAAUUUUUAGCUGUUUUCAAGAAGCAUGCAUCCUCGUCUUCCAUUGGAAGAGAACAUGUUCUGUCUUUUCUCAGGUCUUACAGACAGAUUGAUAAGACAAACAAGUUUCCUUCAGAUUUUAAGCGCGACAUCUGUCAGGCAAAAUGGCUGCAAACACGGCUUGGUGUUCCUAGAUCACCGAGAGAGUGCAUUCUUUUUGGCCCGGAGUGGGAACCUGUAAGUUCAAUUACUGUGCUUCCUUUCAUUGAUGAUAGUGACAAGUACUAUGGCAAGAGAAUUCAUGAAUAUAGUAAAGAGCUGAGGAGCCUGGGUGUUACCAUCAAGUAUAAAGAUGGGGUGAGGUUUGUGGCUGCAGGUGUCUACUUUCCCCAAGAUCCCAGCACCAUAACUCCUGAAAGUGUGUUCUCUCUGCUGCAGUGCAUCCAGAUAUUAAUGAAAGAUGGUUAUACUUUGACUGAUGCUUUCCGGAAAAAGGUUUCUCAAAGUUGGUUAAAAACCAAUGCUGGGUAUAGGUCUCCAGGCCAAAGUUUGUUGUUUGGCUCUGAGUGGGGUUCUUUCUUACACAGAAACGAUGGACCUUUCAUUGAUGAAGAAUUCUAUGGCCCCAACAUUACAGCCUACAAGAACGAGCUCGAAGAAAUAGGAGUGACCAUUGAUGUGUUAAAUGGGUGCUCUUUGCUUGCUGGCUAUCUUGAUUUUCAUUCUGAAUUUUCAACCAUUGUUCGAGUCUAUAAUUACUUGAAUAAACACGGCUGGUCGCCUUGCAAUGAUACUCCUAGAAGGAUCUGGAUCCCUAAUGGGAGUGACAGUGGAGAGUGGGUUAGUCCUGAAAAAUGUGUUAUUCACGACAAGGAUGGUCUCUUCAGUUCACGACUGAAUGUUUUAGAGAAACACUAUAAGCCGGAAUUAUUCAGCCUUUUCUGCAGAGUCAUGCAAGUUAAAUCCAAUCCUUCUAUUGAU